AUGGCGGACAAGAUCUCCACGGUUGUCCUCAAAGUUGACCUUGAAUGCGCGCGAUGCUACAGGAAGAUGAGGACGGUCCUCUGCAAGAUCCAAGACAAGAUGAACAUCAAGACCAUCUCCUUCGACGAGAAGAGCAACGCCGUGACGGUGUCCGGGCCGUUCGACCCUGACAAGCUGUGCCGGAAGCUCUGCUGCGAGGCCGGCCGGGUGAUCAAGGAGAUGCACGUCAACGGCAGGGAACAGAAGGCGGACAAGGACGGCGGCGGCGAGAAGCAGAAGGCGCCCAAGGACGGCGGCAAGGCCGAGAAGGACGGUGGGAAGGCGGAGAAGCCCAAGGACAGCGGCGGGAAGGCGGACAAGGAGAAGCCCAAGGAUGGCGGCGGGAAGGCGGACAAGGAGAAGCCCAAGGACGCCGCGGCCGCCAAGCCGGAGAAGAAGGUCAAGUUCGACGACGCGCCGCCGGCCACGGACGCCAAGCCCGGCAAGGCCAUGCCGCCGCUGCCGCCCGGCAUGAGCAUGGCCGACCUCGGCCCGCUCCUGGAGAAGAUGAAGCAGGCCAAGCAGCAGCAGGGCGGGGGCGGGGGCGGGCCCCAGCCGCCGCGCGGCGAGCCGAUGAUGGCACCGCCCGUGGCCGCGCAGGGGGUGGCCGUGCCGUCCAUCUGGCCGGCGCCGGCCGGUCCCAUGUCCUACAGCUACGACCCGACGCCGUACGGCCAGCCGUCGUACUACGGCGGGGGCUGCGGCGGCGGGUGCGGCGGGGGGUGCCAGUGCUGCAGGCCGCCCGUGCCGGCCGGCGGGUACUACGGCGUGCCGGUGCACGACCACCAGGGGUGGUACCACGGCAACCGGCAGCCGUACUACCAGCAGCAGCAGCCGUACUGCGGCGAGGACCCCAACGCCGGGUGCAGCGUCAUGUGA
This 918-nucleotide ribosomal RNA is filed under the name Triticum aestivum (bread wheat). Its description in RNAcentral is "partial small subunit ribosomal RNA". The record is from RNAcentral. Lineage: Eukaryota; Viridiplantae; Streptophyta; Magnoliopsida; Poales; Poaceae.